CCGCGUUGAGGAGUAUUUAGUCAUUCUUGUGGAUUUUGAGGAGGAUAUCAUCCACCGGUUGGGACUCUAUUCCGAAGAAAUAUGUGAGUCACACCUAAGGAACUAUAUCUGCAUUGUGUGUCUGUUGAACAGAAAUUCGCCCGAUCCUGCUCAGGAGAGCCAAGGUGAGGGUUACAGCAAGUCCAUGAUCCAGGCCCUGUCAGCCGUGUGUGUUCGCACUCCUCAUUAUGGCACCAGGACCAAUACAAUUAUCCUGAUCGAUGCAGAGGGGAACGUGACCUUCACAGAGCGCACCAUGCUCAAUUGUGAUACAAACAACUGGUGCACAAAUUCUUUCCAAUUCAAGCUGCAGACAUGAAGAUGUAAUGAAAGAAACUCACUUUGUGCCUAAUAGAUUCUACUUCUUGCAUUAUCAUCACCAAAUCAUCAUUUUGUAUUAAAGCUUCCUGUCACCAUAGCAACUAAUUGUAGCGUUUUGGACUCAACCCAGCAGCAGCUACUACCACAAUUAUUCCGUUUUUAUUUUUGACUAAGGUGUAAAUUAUAUCUGAAGAUUAUUUAAUGUUUUUUUUUUUUUGAUUAAAAUGAUUUUAAACAUUGGAAAUGUGUUGCAGUGUCAACUGCUGCCAGCAGCAAUCAGUUAAUCAGUCAUGUAACAUUUCAAAGACGUAACUCCAUUUUUCUUUUACCGGUAAAUCCAAUUUCAUUGUCCUUUGAGUUAUCUGCGAUUUAUACAUCUGUUGAGAGAUAAAGGAAAGCAGUUUAUCA
Hippocampus comes (tiger tail seahorse) is the source of this 768-nucleotide long non-coding RNA. RefSeq lists it as uncharacterized. Lineage: Eukaryota; Metazoa; Chordata; Actinopteri; Syngnathiformes; Syngnathidae. The record is from RefSeq and is a predicted model, not a curated record. The transcript has 2 exons.